UCACGUCCACAAACAGAAUCCCUGUUUCAAAAUCCCAUCUUCCGGCUUAAUCUCCCAACGACCCAGCCAUUGUUUCACGUCCAUGUUGAUCCGGUCUGCAUCUCAGCCGUGAGCCAUAUCCUCCCGAAUCAUCUGCGAUCGAGCUUCUUCUUCCUAGCAUCCCCUGUUUCCAUCCGAAUUCAUCCCAGCAUCUUCCGGAUGAGCUCUCAACUGCCUCCCAGAUUUCCUCUUCCGAAUCCAUCAGCAUCCUGAGCAUCUCCUCUCAGCCGAGAUACUCUUAACUUCAUGACUCCCUUUUCUUCCGCGAUUCAGCCGAGAUCUUCUCCGCAUCCUCCCAACCUUCUCC
Molecule: long non-coding RNA, 346 nt
Filed under: Phoenix dactylifera (date palm)
Lineage: Eukaryota; Viridiplantae; Streptophyta; Magnoliopsida; Arecales; Arecaceae
Description: long non-coding RNA (PDAC_LNC007839)
Source: RNAcentral